AAUAAUAUACGCAGGAAGAAGGAAGGGCUGACCUAUAUUUCAGAUAUGGAAACUGAGCCCUCACACAUGGACUGAAUUCUGACAAGCAGAGGAUAAAGGCAGAACAACAUGACUCAAGGGAAGAUGCUUUUGUGAUAUAUCCCAGCAUGCUGAUGACCCCAAGGAGGACCACUGGAUACCUAGCAAGACUCGAACUUACACCAUUGACUCCCUUGGACUUGGAAGGGAAACACAUCUGGGUCUCCAGCUUGCAGAUGGUACAUGUUGGGACUUCUCAGUCUCCAGAAUCUCGAGCUGGCUGCAGCAUACCAUGAAUCCUCACAGCAACUUAAUGAGGAAAAGGAAGAACUGAUUGAAGAGUGGCAACCAGAACCUCUUGUUCCUCCUGUCCCAAAAGACCAUCCUGCGCUCAACUACAACAUCAUUUCAGGUUCCUCUGGCAGCCCUCCUCAAGGACCUCUGUGAGACAAAGUCAGAAAUGACUUCACUGGAGACCAAGAGAGCCCACAGAGCUCUUCCUGCUGCUUCUUCUACCCUUGUACUCACUCGGCUCUCUAAAUUUGUCUCAGCUCCAGGUAAGGUUGGAUCUUUAAAUUUGUCUCAGCUCCAGGUAAGGUCGCAUCUUUAAAUUUGUCUCAGCUCCAGGUAAGUUUGGAUCUUUCUCCCGUGAUUUGGACCUUCAGGUUCCCCACUGAGGGUGUGUGUUUGGGGAUGGAUCAUCCCUCUUUCACACUUUCACACUUUGGACACUCUCAGUUUUUCAAGUGUCUUGGAGCCUGUGGGAGCAAUGCACUUCCUUCAAAGGGUCUCUUGGCUUUCCUGGUAUAUUCCUGUGGUAGUUCUUGGAGCAAAAGUUCAUAAUAUGAGUCUCCACACACGAGUCUGCCUACUAAUCUUGAUUUGGUGUUGAAGGAAAUACAGUACAGAAAUUUGUAGAUAAAAUCAGAUGGCAGUAUGUGUCUUUUUAGCCUACUCCCCUGAAAAUGAGAUUCUUCUUUUCCAAAGUGAAGUAUGCUGUUUUCCAAAAGGAAACUUUUAUAACUUUUUAAAUGGUGAAAUACAACACAUGAAGAGAAAGAUGCAUAGGAAAUAAAUGCACAAUGUAAUGAAUAAUCAGAAAGUAAAUAUCCUUUUAACUACUACCUAAAUAAGGGAAUAGAUUGUUGUCUACACUGUAGAAGCAACCCCUUGCCCCAGGGUAUCCCUUUUCAAUCACAUUCUCUUUAUCCCUCUUAGAUUAAGACAUUGUCUUGAUAUGCACAUUACUUUCAUUCUUGAGAUUCUUUGUACUUUUAUUGCUUUUAUAUGUGGCCCUAAAUAAAAUGUCAAAUAUUAACUGGUUUUAAACUUUAUAUAAAUUCAUAAUUUAAAAAAGUCUCUCAAUAAAUAAUGUGUUUGUAAGAUUAAAUUAGGUUUAUUGUACCUAGCUCUAAUGAGUUAACUUUUCCUGUAGUAUAAAAUUCCACCAUAUUAAUAACCACAAUUUAUUUAUCCAUCCUAACAUUUUGAUAGCUUCAUGAAUGUUAGAAUUAUUUUCAGCUAUUGCAAAAAUUGCUACCAUGAACUUUCUUUUACAUGUUUCUAGGUAUGUGAAUACAUUUUUCUAGGUAUAUACGCAGAAAUGGAAUUGUUACUGUUUGGUCAUAGAAUAUUGUAUGGGAAAUGACACUUUUCUAAAGUGGUUUAAAGAUAAGUGUUGGUGAGAAUGUUGAGAAAGGGCACCUCAUACACUAUUGUUUGGAAUGUAAAUUAAUACAGUAAUCACAAGCCAAUUUUCAUUCAUACCAACCCUGCAUAACAGCUUCUUGCUUCAUAUCUUCACCAAUACUUGGUAUUGUCAGACUUUUAAAUUUAUUCAGUCGCAUGGAUUUGUAGAAGGACAUCACUGUAGUUUUAAUUUGCAUUUCAAGAUGGAAAUUGUGUACAUGAAUACUUGAAAUAAUAAAUAAAAUUAAAAAUGUCUUCAUAAUAUUGAUAAUUCCAGUAAAGACCUUUUCUAUUACUUGAAAUGGUUCAUUCAAGUCAUAUAACUAGCAGUAUAUUUGCUUAACUCAUCAGACAAAUCAAUUAAUAUUUUCUUGACUUGAUUUCAAGAUUACAUUCACAUAACCAAUGAAACAUAAACAAAUAUUUUCUAUUUGUUUGUAUAAAUAAGGGUAGUGGUAAUACUUCAUUUACUGCAUCUUCCAAUUUGAAACUUUGAAACCUUUGUUACUUGUUUACAGUUUUUUCACUGACAUCAUUGGUGAAAGAGAGCUGAAUGUUAUAUUCAGUGUAUUCUGUCCACAAGCUUUGGUUUAAAGUACAAUAGAAAUAUCUCUCAUUCUCCCACAAAGUCUCCUAACACGUGCUAGCAUUCUCACUGUUGAAUAGUAUUGCAAAGGCAGAAUGUAGCAUAGUUGAUAUAAAUACUAAGCAAAGAAAAGACACAGAGCUUGUGGUUUGAGCUAAAAGAGUGAUUUUUAUCUCUGUGGAGGAUGCCAAACAAAACCAUCCCAAUCCUUGGUAAGAAAUGGUAAUAUUAAUGAAAAGUAUAUUUUCUAUCAUGUUUUAUACUUGCUAUUUAGAUUAUGAUAUUUUUUCACAAAAAUUAGUAAUCACAGUUCCUCCAAAAGACCAUUAAGUGGUCUAUCAGAGACAGAAUUUUGGUAAACACUAGUAAGGUAGAAAGUGCCGAUGAUGAAGAGCUGAUGACAAGGAUUUUAAGACUGACUUGGCCCUGCAGCUUACUGACCAUCUGGGGGAAUCAUUAAUGCUUCUGAGUUUCUAUUUCUUCAUCUGGAAAAUAGUCCUUGUUACAGCUGCCCUGAUUUUCUCAUGGUUUGUCUAGAUAAGUUAAUAUGAAAACAUAUUUAAAGACCAGUCUGCUUCCAGCUGUGAUGGAGUAACUUGUAUCAGACCCACUGUUCUAUAAGAGAAUUUUGAAAGUUGGCUACGGCACAAAACCAUCUACAAAAACAAUCAAAAUAAAACCCAAACAAACACCAAAACCAAUGCUGUUUUUGAAGGCACUGGAGACCAACCUAAACAGCCAGAACAUGAGGGACCAAGAUUUAGAGAAAAGGGAACCAUAGAAAAGUGUAGGAAAUUUCCCCUCAAGACAUUUUGAGACCCACUAAUCAGUAAUUAAGCAGAGCAAGAUUCUAAGAAAAUAAGUAUAAAGCAACUAUUAAAAAGCUAAGCAGAGAUUAUCACAGCUUUGGGAUUUGCUAAAGGCCUUAAUAAACACUCUUGGAUUUUAGUGGCAAACCCUGAAAGCUUACUCCCUAGGAGUGCUAGAAAACCAGAAAUAGACUAGUCUUUACUGGAUCAAGGAGAAAUACUUGUAUUCUAAUGUCUGACAAAUAAAAAUGAAAUUCCCUCUAGGGUAGAUAACAUUACCUAGGACCACUAGGAUUUUCAUGCACGUUAUUUAUCAUUCAUUCAAAGACUUCCAGGAUGCCAGGAAAAAUAACCAAAUCUACAAAAAUCGGGAGAAAAUAGAAACAGAUCCGUAAGUCAUGCAGCUGUUGGGACUAAGUGAUAUGAACAUUAAAAUAAUUAUGAUUAAUGUGUGCAAGGAAAAUAGGGAAGGUGGAUAAUUGCACAGCAAAUUAAGAAACUAUAAAAAUAACAAAAUAGGAAUCUUUAUAAUUAAUGUAAUUUAACAGCAGAUUAGACUCAUAAGAAAAGGAUUCAUAUAUAAGAAGAUAGGUUAGUAGAAAAUAUUUAGAUUG
Pan troglodytes (chimpanzee) is the source of this 3716-nucleotide long non-coding RNA. RefSeq lists it as uncharacterized. The record is from RefSeq and is a predicted model, not a curated record. Lineage: Eukaryota; Metazoa; Chordata; Mammalia; Primates; Hominidae. The transcript is spliced from 7 exons.